Long non-coding RNA from Poeciliopsis prolifica (blackstripe livebearer), 917 nucleotides. RefSeq lists it as uncharacterized. The transcript has 4 exons. Lineage: Eukaryota; Metazoa; Chordata; Actinopteri; Cyprinodontiformes; Poeciliidae. The record is from RefSeq and is a predicted model, not a curated record.
AUUAAAAUUUCGAUGUGAUAAUCUAUAAUCCAUUUCAUUUACGAUUUUGGUUGUCUUUUCUUCCCUCCCCCACUUUACUUAUUGUGUUUAGUUGUCAUGUUUUAUUCUGGGUAUUUAAAAUAUCUUCCAGUUUCAGUGAGAAGUGUUACAAAAUUAAAGUCUAUCUGUCUUUGAGAGGAUGAUUAUCAGUUUAUUACUUUAUGCAUUAUCGUUUAUCGCAAUAAUUACUGGGACAGUUUAUCGUCUGGCUAAAUGUAUUUUUCUGUCGUGACAGUCUCAGUUGUUAGGCAACAAAAACAAAACAAAACAUCCACAAGGCAUUAAUAUUUUUCCAAGGCGUUCAGUACAUGAAAAUGUUAAUGUGACGGUAAAAGGAGAGUCGAUGUAUAAUCUAAACAGGAGACGAUCAUGGAAAAGAGAGAAGGAAUGAAGAAAGAAAUUCAGAAUGAAGAGAAGCAGCAGAGCAAGCAAUGGAUGGCUAAAUGUGAGCAGAAAACAACAACAAAAAAAGAAAUGCAAAGAUGGCAAGGACAGAAGGUACAGCCAGAUGGUUUCCACAGGAGAUUAAAGGAUUUCUCAAACAAUGCUUGAAAGAAUCAAAGCAACACUCCAGAGUUCGCCAACAGUAAAAAAUGUCACCCGGUUUUCCAGUCGACUGCCAGCCGCCACUACAGCAGACAGCGAGGCUGCAGGAGAAGAAGACGCCUGCUGCCAUGCAAACAUACAGUCUGUGCUCACACAUGUCAAUAGACAGAGGGUCUGUAAGAAGAAGAAAACGUGAGAGUGUGGGCUUUGAAGGAGAGAGAACAUAAAAAAGAUUUACAUUGUGUUGGGGUUUGAGGAGAUGGCUGCAUGUUUCUCAUCAGCUGUGAGCGGAAUCCAUUUGGUCUGUCGCUUCUUUCCUUUUUCAUCUUCAC